AUACGGAGGGUGCAAGCGUUAUCCGGAAUCACUGGGUUUAAAGGGUGCGUAGGCGGCCUGGUAAGUCAGAGGUGAAAUACACGAGCUUAACUGGUGAAUUGCCUUUGAAACUAUCAAGCUAGAAUUAUGUAGAGGUCAGCGGAAUGAGUCAUGUAGCGGUGAAAUGCAUAGAUAUGACUUAGAACACCAAUUGCGUAGGCAGCUGGCUAGGCAUUAAUUGACGCUGAGGCACGAAAGCGUGGGGAGCGAACAGGAUUAGAAACCCUAGUAGUCC
Molecule: ribosomal RNA, 274 nt
Filed under: uncultured bacterium
Lineage: Bacteria
Description: partial 16S ribosomal RNA
Rfam family: Bacterial small subunit ribosomal RNA
Source: RNAcentral